CGCCUUGCCAGCCCGCUCAGAACUUAAAGGAAUUGACGGGGCCCGCACAAGCGGUGGAGUAUGUGGUUAAUUCGAUGCAACGCGAAGAACCUUACCUGGUCUUGACAUCCCGGAGACCCUUAGGAAACUAGGGGGUGCUUCCAUCUGGAAGAAUCUGGAGACAGGUGCUGCAUGGCUGUCGUCAGCUCGUGUCGUGAGAUGUUGGGUUAAGUCCCGCAACGAGCGCAACCCUUGCCUUUAGUUGCCAGCAGUUCGGCUGGGCACUCUAAAGGGACUGCCGGUGUUAAACCGGAGGAAGGUGGGGAUGACGUCAAGUCCUCAUGGCCUUUAUGACCAGGGCUACACACGUACUACAAUGGCCGAUACAAAGGGCAGCGACACUGCGAGGUGAAGCCAAUCCCGUAAAAUCGGUCUCAGUCCGGAUUGGAGUCUGCAACUCGACUCCAUGAAGUUGGAAUCGCUAGUAAUCGCGGAUCAGCCAAGCCGCGGUGAAUACGUUCCCGGGCCCU
This 509-nucleotide ribosomal RNA is filed under the name uncultured Desulfobulbus sp. RNAcentral describes it as "bacterial SSU rRNA". It matches the Rfam family "Bacterial small subunit ribosomal RNA", at positions 903 to 1382 of the family's 1533-position model. The record is from RNAcentral. Lineage: Bacteria; Pseudomonadati; Thermodesulfobacteriota; Desulfobulbia; Desulfobulbales; Desulfobulbaceae.